GAAAUAUGUUAUACAAGUGUAAGCCGCUAACUUAUAACUUUAGCGGUUAAAUUCCGUUUAUAUUUCU
RNAcentral lists this transfer RNA (67 nucleotides) under Megaloblatta sp. ECMD1. Its description in RNAcentral is "tRNA-Ser". The record is from RNAcentral. Lineage: Eukaryota; Metazoa; Arthropoda; Insecta; Blattodea; Nyctiboridae.